Molecule: long non-coding RNA, 600 nt
Organism: Symphalangus syndactylus (siamang)
Lineage: Eukaryota; Metazoa; Chordata; Mammalia; Primates; Hylobatidae
Source: RefSeq, a predicted model, not a curated record
GAGAAAGCCGGUACCCGGGGAUAGUAAUGACUAGUAUUUAGCACGUGGGGGCUCUAGGUCCCAGUCAAGAGACACGAGGGAUAGCACUGCGCCUGUCCCGUGAUUUCUGCCCCCGCUAAGGACUUGUGCAAGCAAGCAUCCUGCUGCCAAAGGGAGACGGAAGGAUUUGUCACUUUUUCCAAGGUCGCGAGUGGAGUUACAGGCUGUGUUCUCCCUAUGGCAGGACAAAGGAGGAAUUUGGACAAUCACAUACCCCUCCCCCAAAGAUCCAGAAGCUCUCUAAAUAAUGAGCAUUCGCUAACCCCCAGGCCAUGUGGCCUUUGGACACAGCAGGAUAGAAGUUGCUUUCUGGGCCUCACUUGCUACAGGGAUCCCAGGUUGCAAGUCAGAUAACCUGCGCCUGCCCAGUUGAACCAAGUAUGCCCAAUUUGUGACCUCAGUGCUGGCCAGAAACAAAAAGUCAACCACAGUUGAAGCCUAAGAACUUGGAUCAAGGAGCAGGGACUGAAUUAAGAAGCAGAGAAGCCCUGUUUCAUUGCAGUGCGGACUCAGCCAAGUACUCGUCACCGCCUCUUUGCAUGAUCUGAUCAAAUCAUGCCU